Molecule: ribosomal RNA, 253 nt
Filed under: uncultured bacterium
Lineage: Bacteria
Description: partial 16S ribosomal RNA
Rfam family: Bacterial small subunit ribosomal RNA
Source: RNAcentral
UACGGAGGGGGCAAGCGUUAUUCGGAAUUAUUGGGCGUAAAGGGCGCGUAGGCGGCUAGAUGUGUCAAAGGUGAAAGCCCUCGGCUCAACCGAGGAAUUGCGCUCAAUACUGCCGAGCUCGAGAGAGACAGAGGUAAGCGGAACUAAUGGUGGAGCGGUGAAAUGCGUUGAUAUCAUUAGGAACACCGGUGGCGAAGGCGGCUUACUGGGUCUUUUCUGACGCUGAGGCACGAAAGCCAGGGGAGCGAACGGG